ACGUAGGGGGCAAGCGUUAUCCGGAUUUACUGGGUGUAAAGGGAGCGUAGACGGCACAGCAAGUCUGAUGUGAAAGCCCGGGGCCCAACCCCGGAACUGCAUUGGAAACUGCUGGGCUUGAGUGCAGGAGAGGUAAGCGGAAUUCCUAGUGUAGCGGUGAAAUGCGUAGAUAUUAGGAGGAACACCAGUGGCGAAGGCGGCUUACUGGACUGUAACUGACGUUGAGGCUCGAAAGCGUGGGGAGCAAACAG
This 251-nucleotide ribosomal RNA is filed under the name uncultured bacterium. RNAcentral describes it as "partial 16S ribosomal RNA". It matches the Rfam family "Bacterial small subunit ribosomal RNA", at positions 525 to 775 of the family's 1533-position model. The record is from RNAcentral.